This 156-nucleotide ribosomal RNA is filed under the name Fusarium sp. RNAcentral's name for it is "5.8S ribosomal RNA". It matches the Rfam family "5.8S ribosomal RNA". From Rfam's summary of the family: 5.8S ribosomal RNA (5.8S rRNA) is a component of the large subunit of the eukaryotic ribosome. It is transcribed by RNA polymerase I as part of the 45S precursor that also contains 18S and 28S rRNA. Functionally, it is thought that 5.8S rRNA may be involved in ribosome translocation. Lineage: Eukaryota; Fungi; Ascomycota; Sordariomycetes; Hypocreales; Nectriaceae. The record is from RNAcentral.
AAACUUUCAACAACGGAUCUCUUGGUUCUGGCAUCGAUGAAGAACGCAGCAAAAUGCGAUAAGUAAUGUGAAUUGCAGAAUUCAGUGAAUCAUCGAAUCUUUGAACGCACAUUGCGCCCGCCAGUAUUCUGGCGGGAUGCUGUUCGAGCGUCAUUU